GACGAACGCUGGCGGCGUGCCUAAUACAUGCAAGUCGAGCGGACCGACCGAGUGCUUGCUCUUGUUUGGUCAGCGGCGGACGGGUGAGUAACACGUGGUCAACCUGCCCGCAAGACCGGGAUAACUCCGGGAAACCGUAGCUAAUACCGGAUAACACCGAAGACCGCAUGGGCUUCGGGUGAAAGGAGGCCUUUGGGAUGUUACUUGCGGAUGGGCCCGCGGCGCAUUAGCUAGUUGGAGAGGAAACGGAGCAACAAGGGGACGAUGAGUAGCCGGCCUGAGAGGGGGAGCGGCCACACUGGGACUGAGACACGGCCCAGAACACUACGGGAGGCAGCAGUAGGGGAUCUUCCGCGAUGGGCGAAAGCCUGACGGUGCGACGCCGCGUGAGCGAAGAAGGCCGUCGGGUCGUAAAGCUCUGUUGUGAGGUACGAAGGAGCGCCGUUCGAAGAGGGCGGCGCAGUGACGGUACCUCACGAGAAAGCCCCGGCUAACUACGUG
This 501-nucleotide ribosomal RNA is filed under the name uncultured bacterium. RNAcentral describes it as "partial 16S ribosomal RNA". It matches the Rfam family "Bacterial small subunit ribosomal RNA", at positions 28 to 507 of the family's 1533-position model. The record is from RNAcentral.